Molecule: long non-coding RNA, 1260 nt
Organism: Ictalurus punctatus (channel catfish)
Lineage: Eukaryota; Metazoa; Chordata; Actinopteri; Siluriformes; Ictaluridae
Exons: 2
Source: RefSeq, a predicted model, not a curated record
CUGAAGCUUUUCAGUUUAAUAAAUGACGACGCUACUAGUUACCAGGGAUGGAAAAUACUUCGCUAAUAAUCCGACAAACUCCAGGCCCUGCCUCAGUAAAAUGUUUCAAUAUGCUGGAGUAAACAAACUUAAAGUGAGGAGUCUCCUUUAUCUUUUUAGGAGGCAUCUAAUCCAUCUAAUCUAAAAAAAAAAAAGAAGAAGAAGAAAAACCAUAUUGAGGUAAGUUUGCUAAUUUGCUAACUGGCUAUUUCUAACUGAUUAGCUGUUUUCUUUGCUAAUGCUAGAUUAGACUAGCAUCGAUUCCAGCAGCUAGCAUAGUUUAGCAAGUUAAAUUGAAUAAAAAUGGUACUUUUCAUAUGAAAACAUAGCAUGAACUUAGCUGUUAACAUUUUCUUUUUUCUUUCUUUAAAACAAAGAAAAACCUCAAGUACAUUUUAAAAGUAGUUUUUUUUUGUUUGUUUUUUUACUUUAGUACAUUUUUUGCUGCACACUUCCACUUUUAAUUGAGUAGGAGCCUGACACAUUAUCUAUACUUUCACUUCAAUACAAUUUCUCAGAACUUCGUCCAGUCCUGCAGUUACUAAACUGUAGCAUAAAUAUAUAUAUUGUGUGUGUGUGUGUAUAUAUAUAUAUAUAUAUAUACACACACACACACACACACACACUGUAUGUAUAUAUACUGUAUGAAUGUUAAGAUAUACCAGAGACAUGCAGCACUGAGAAUAUCAAGGAGUCUAGAGAGCAACAUAAAUCAGGACAAUUUUUUUUUAAUUAUAGUAAUGGUCUCAAAGUGAUUGAGUUGAUUUACAUCUUAUAUUUUCAUCAGUCUUGCUUUGACUUAAGUGUACAUAAGUCAUUUGCGGUAAUUAUAAUUGUUUUUUCAGUUGCCACUAUAAUAUAAUGUAGUAUAUAGACUGUAAAAUAUAUCUUUAAGUGUAUAGCAAGAUAUAAGAUUAGUAUUCAGACCAAGCAGAUCGUACAAAUCACAUUAAAAAAAGUUGUUGUUGUUGUUGUUGUUAUUAUUAUUAUUAUUAUUAGGAAGAAAUAAACAGAAACAACACAUCAUUAAAACAAAGUUCUGUUUAUUGAAUGAUUUUUUUCUUGAGAAAUGAUGCACGUAACUGUAGAAAUAUGCCGAGACGCAGCACAUAAACAUACACGUUUCACUUUUUAGCUGUUUAAAGAUAAACCUCUAACAUUUAUAGUGCUUUAAUUCACAAACAUAUAUAACUUUAAAAUAUAUUUCCUGAAAUGAAGAAA